UACGUAGGGGGCGAGCGUUGUCCGGAUUUAUUGGGCGUAAAGGGUACGCAGGCGGCCAUGUAAGUCAGGUGUGAAAUCCUAUAGCUUAACUAUAGUAAGCACUUGAAACUGUGUGGCUUGAGUCAAGGAGAGGAAAGUGGAAUUCCUAGUGUAGCGGUGAAAUGCGUAGAUAUUAGGAGGAACACCAGUGGCGAAGGCGACUUUCUGGACUUGUACUGACGCUGAGGUACGAAAGCGUGGGGAGCAAACAGG
RNAcentral lists this ribosomal RNA (252 nucleotides) under uncultured Clostridiales Family XII bacterium. Its description in RNAcentral is "partial 16S ribosomal RNA". It matches the Rfam family "Bacterial small subunit ribosomal RNA", at positions 524 to 776 of the family's 1533-position model. Lineage: Bacteria; Bacillati; Bacillota; Clostridia; Eubacteriales; Eubacteriales Family XII. Incertae Sedis. The record is from RNAcentral.